GAUGAACGCUGGCGGCGUGCCUAAUACAUGCAAGUCGAACGCGCCGAGAAGGGAACUUGUUCCUUUCAACGCGAGUGGCGAACGGGUGAGUAACACGUGGGAAACCUACCCUUCAGCGGGGGAUAACCAUCGGAAACGAUGACUAAUACCGCAUAGUUGUUCUAGUCGCAUGACUGGAAUGGGAAAGACGGCUUCGGCUGUCACUGAAGGAUGGUCCCGCGGUGCAUUAGCUAGACGGUGGGUAACGGCCUACCGUGGCUUUGAUGCAUAGCCGACCUGAGAGGGUGAUCGGCCACAUUGGGACUGAGACACGGCCCAAACUCCUACGGGAGGCAGCAGUAGGGAAUCUUCCGCAAUGGACGCAAGUCUGACGGAGCAACGCCGCGUGUGUGAAGAAGGUCUUCGGAUCGUAAAGCACUGUUAUCAGAGAAGAAUAGCCUAUAGAGUAACUGUUAUAGGUUUGACGGUAACUGAUCAGAAAGCCACGG
RNAcentral lists this ribosomal RNA (488 nucleotides) under uncultured bacterium. Its description in RNAcentral is "bacterial SSU rRNA". It matches the Rfam family "Bacterial small subunit ribosomal RNA", at positions 28 to 496 of the family's 1533-position model. The record is from RNAcentral.